This 787-nucleotide long non-coding RNA is filed under the name Equus caballus (horse). RNAcentral describes it as "lncRNA (ENSECAG00000051720.1)". Lineage: Eukaryota; Metazoa; Chordata; Mammalia; Perissodactyla; Equidae. The record is from RNAcentral.
AGGAAGACUGGCCCUGAGCUAACGUCCAUGCCCAUCUUCCUCUACUUUAUAUGUGGGAUGCCUACCACAGCAUGGCUUGCCAGGCAGUGCCAUGUCCGCACCAGGGAUCCCAACUGGCAAACCCCGGCCGCCGAAGCGGAACGUGCGCACUUAACUGCUGCACCACCCACCAGCCCCUGAAGAAACCUUUCAACGGAAGGAGAUGGGAGAACAGCAAAGAGAUCAGAAAAGUGUAGUCUUCAAUAGAUGGUACACUUCAGUUGUUUCCAGAUUUUCUAACUUACAGCAAAGCUUCUAUAACGUCCCCGUAUUGGAAGCUCCUUGAAAGCAGAGCCCAUGUAUUACAACUUUGUAUCCUAUCUCAAUUCUUAGCACAUGAAAGAUGGCUGCAAAUUGGAAUUCCUAUUUUCUGAAAUUGCCUCCUGACUUUGCCCUAGAACUAUCCUAUUUUGUAAUGGGCCUGCAAUCUGCCUCUGAAUGGAAGUCAUGGAAAGGAUCAAAAAUGACUGACCAGCGUUGGUGGAGUUUGGGUUUUUUUUAAAUAAUAGUAGGUAUUAAUGUAGCACACUGUAUUUGUAGUGCUUUGAAAUAAAUAUCACAAUAUUAUAUGUAAAUAUACAUAUAACCAAACACAUAUAAGCUAACAAUUCAUUAAAAUAAAGAAUUAGUAUCUUAUGUCUUUUUGGUGUCCAAAGUGAAACCACUAGCUCCUGUGGGAUCCUAAGGAUCUACAAAUUACUGAGCACCACCUCCUCCCCAGGUGAGUGAUUUUUUUGUAAGCAGGCGG